This 87-nucleotide transfer RNA is filed under the name Clostridiales bacterium. RNAcentral's name for it is "tRNA-Ser". It matches the Rfam family "tRNA". Rfam says of the family: Transfer RNA (tRNA) molecules are approximately 80 nucleotides in length. Their secondary structure includes four short double-helical elements and three loops (D, anti-codon, and T loops). The record is from RNAcentral. Lineage: Bacteria; Bacillati; Bacillota; Clostridia; Eubacteriales.
GGAGGGAUGGCAGAGCGGUUUAAUGCGGCGGUCUCGAAAACCGUUGUGCCAGUGACGGCACCGGGGGUUCGAAUCCCCCUCUCUCCG